Molecule: long non-coding RNA, 1422 nt
Filed under: Helianthus annuus (common sunflower)
Lineage: Eukaryota; Viridiplantae; Streptophyta; Magnoliopsida; Asterales; Asteraceae
Description: hypothetical non coding rna
Source: RNAcentral
GGUCAUCAAAAUUAAUAAGUGAUAUAAUUGUCUUACGGGCAUUCCUAAGUAGCAAAUUCUUGCAUCUAAAAGCAACGAUGGCAAAUCGGGUGGAGCACUUCUAGGUCUUCCGGCUGCUCUACCUCCACCACGAUACAUGCUGACGCUCAUACUGUAUUUCGCGGGACCCUUAUCAUGCAUUCCAGAUAAACUCCACAUUCCUCCAUGAUUCAAGUAAUUGUGAGAGGACGAGAUUGUUUCCUGUUAAAGAGACCUCUGUUACACUUUCCGCUUGCCGCCUUACAGGAUUAUCUUCUGUCAUGAACAUGUCCAUUUGUGAAGGACUAAGACCGUACAGAUAUUGAGGAACAUUCUUGAAAUUUUCCAUCACUGAAAAAAUGAGUUGGUUAAUUGCUGAUACAAGUGUGUGUGAAGCUAAGUAGUUAAUGCGGUAAAAUAUCGGAUAUCGGCCAAGGACCGAUAUUUGAGAUAUCAGUUAUCGCUGUGGGAUAUCGGUAAUUUUAAUAUCAUGCUAAAUUUAUAUAUAUAUAAAUGACACUAACAAUUCAGUAUACUCUCCUACGGCAUUAACAAAUUAACCUUUUGCAACUUGCAAAACACUAACAAUUGUAGCAAGUAGGAACUCACUAAGACUUAAAACACUAACAACUAACAGUUAAGACUUAAAACACUAAUAGCAAUAAUAAGAAAAGCGAAUGGUAGAACUAAAAAGAAAGGUACUGAAAUCAGGAAAAUCAAUGAUAUAUCAUUCCAAUAUCGGUCAAUAUCGCCGAUUUUAUUGGUACCGAUAUUUUGUACCCGUAUAUCGGCAGGGGGGGGGACCGAUAACCGAUAUAUCACUGAUAUAUCGGGAUAUUAACUACAUAGGUGUGAAGUAGACACUAAUCUUCUUUUCUCAUCUUAUGUUCUUUAAUUGUGGUUUUUCUAAGUAAAAUAUUGCAGCAAAUGAACAAUAAAUUAAUCAUUUAGCAAUAAGACUGUAGCUAUUAUAAUAUAAAUAUGUUCAUCAGCUCCAAAAUGAUUCCAUAUCAAUUUUAGGGUUUCAAUAAUAGUCACAGACACACAAGCCAUAUGUCAUACCUAAAUAGUAUGAGAGGUUUGUAGGAGGAAGCUAACUAUUAAUAAAAAAGAGAGAGAGAGAGACUCACAUCCAUCUUUAAGGUUUCCUUCCCUGAACUGCUUGGGGAUAUAGUCCAGAUAUUUAUCCGAAGCCGUCGCAGACACCGGAGACCUAACACAUCGUCCCCUAACCGUAACAUCUUUGAUUUUUCUGGAAGGAGCAUGGAUAUUGUUGCGAACAAAGGAGGAUUUCAACAACAGAUUCGUAGAAGAACUCAAAUCUCGAUUAUGGUCGACGGUCGGAGGAAGAUGAGGUGAACGGAGUACCGAAAUCGACGUCGCCAUUACUCUCUCUCUCUCUCU